This 1973-nucleotide long non-coding RNA is filed under the name Populus trichocarpa (black cottonwood). RNAcentral's name for it is "long non-coding RNA (PTRI_LNC002191)". The record is from RNAcentral. Lineage: Eukaryota; Viridiplantae; Streptophyta; Magnoliopsida; Malpighiales; Salicaceae.
GCUUCUCAAUGGGUUGCUAAGAAGAACAAGAAGCAGCUGUCUGUGAUUGUCUCAGUCGUGCCCUAGCUUCUCAAUUAAGGUGAUUAAUUGUUCUUGCUCUUCAAUUAUUGUGAAUUUGAGCGUUAGUUUUUGGUGAUUUUUGGGCAUUUUAAAUUAGUAAAUAAGAAUGUGUUUGUAGAAUUUAAUCAACAUAUGGUUUUGUUUUGGAUCACUACAAAAACAGAAGACCUGAUUUGAGAUUUUACGGUAGAGUGUUUUGGUAAAUUGAGGUAAUUUAAUUAUGAUAAAUUUCUCAUAUAAAUGUUAUAAUUAAUACAUGAUUAUAUUGUAUAAAAAUCAAUUACAUUAGUUUACUAGUAAAGUAUUUGUAUAUCAAAUAUAUUAUAAUAUAAAUUGAUUGUUAAAAUAACAUUUCUCGUUGAAGUGCACAUAACCAAAAAAAAAUCAUAUCUACACUAUUUAAAAUAUAAUUUAAUUAUUUAACUUUUUUAUUUAGAGUGUGUUUGAGAAUGUGAUGUAAAUUGUGUUUUUAAAUUUUUUUUUAAAUAAAAUUUUUUAGAUUGUUUUGAUGUGCUGAUGUCAAAAAUAAUUUUUAAAAAAUAAAAAAUAUAUUUUAAUAUAUUUAUAAAUAAAAAAUAUUUUAAAUUAUCAGUGAUAUCACAAUUCUAAAUAAACAGCCUGGUAAAAUUAAACGGAGUUGGAGAAAAGGGUAAAAAUCUAAAAAGAAAUGUAUGACAAAAUGGUUGAAUAAAUAAUAAAUUUUAUCCGAUUGCAAAAUCCAAAAAAUAAUAAAGAAUAUGGAGACAAAAUGCAUCAUUAACUCGUUAAAUUAAUCACCAUUGGAUCCUUAAUAUCUAAAGCACAGAAGGAAAUUUCUAAAUUUGUGUUAUAAGAAAACAACUAAAGCAAAUAUUCACUAUAGCUUCCCUCGUAUUUUCUCAUUCACCUCAACACUAUAGUGUGAUUUUUUUGUCAUUCACGGGAAAAAUCGCUUGCAUAUGAACAAGGAGUAUUUUUAUCUUUGCAUAUAAUUUGUCAGGCAUUAUGAAUUUGUCUGGAAAUAUUUUUGUUUAUUAAAUAUAUUUAUAAAUAAUAAAUAACUAAAAUAUUUCUAGAAUAAAAAAAACUAACAUUAUAGAGCAGGAAUGUUGUUAUUUUUUUUUAGCAUAUUGUAAGAUUAUGCAUAUGACCUUAAGGAUAAAAAAGACAAGUCAUUGAAACAAGGGUUUAAAUAUAUCUCUCUCUCUGUUUUUUUUUUUUUUUAAUUAUUUGUUUGUUUAAGAGUAGGAGCAUAAUUUACCAUUUAAUUUAUAAUUUUUAAAAACAAAAAAUUAUUGAUGUAUACAUCGCACGCGCUAGCACGUGUAGUGUCUCUCAGUGGUGGAAAAUGAGCUUCCUUGGAUCUUCUUGUGCCUUCUUUCUUUAUUGAUGGCUCAUGUUUGUUAAAAGUGGAUGAUUUAUCAUCGGUGAUCCUUGUUUUUUAUUUCUUUAUUUUUAUUUUCUAUCUAAAAAAUCAACUAAUUUUAGAAAGCGUUUGGCAUUGAGAUUGCGGCUGAGAUUCACACUCAGCCACAAAUAUUAAUAUUUGGUUAAGCUAAUAACUGAGUUUUGUUUUGGUGGGACACAUUUAAAUUGCAGGUGUGACCAUGGUUUAACAAAAGCAGAAUUUACAUGCUUUCAGCUACUUCACUGUUCAUGUGAACAAUGAAGAGGUAAAGAGUGAAUUAUAACAGGAGAAAAAAAAUACACCUGCAAUUAUUAUUAGCUUAACUAACGAUAAAGGAAAGAAUUAGAAGUAGUAUGGUUGUAGUAUGAGCAGAAAGCAGCAUGAACUAAGGGAAACAAAGCUUGCCUUUGCGUUGUUGUACUGGGUUUUUGCUUCAGAAGCCAGACUAAUAAAGAAAAGCUCUUUCCUAAUUGCUGCUCUGCUUCUAACUAUGAACGAUAAUUAAGUCGGGGUUUUUGAGAAACAG